Molecule: microRNA precursor, 105 nt
Filed under: Marmota monax (woodchuck)
Lineage: Eukaryota; Metazoa; Chordata; Mammalia; Rodentia; Sciuridae
Source: RNAcentral
AUACAAACUUUCUGGGAUCUUGUUAAAAUACAAAUUUCCAAUUUAGUAGUUCUGCAGAAGACUGUGGGAUUCUGUAUUUUUAACAAACUCCCAGGUGAUGCUGAG